AGAGUCUUAGGCUAAUCAGACCCGGGGCCUUCAAAGCCCCUAGCGGGGGUUGAACUCCCUCAGACUCUG
RNAcentral lists this transfer RNA (69 nucleotides) under Trachinocephalus myops (snakefish). RNAcentral's name for it is "tRNA-Trp". It matches the Rfam family "tRNA". From Rfam's summary of the family: Transfer RNA (tRNA) molecules are approximately 80 nucleotides in length. Their secondary structure includes four short double-helical elements and three loops (D, anti-codon, and T loops). Further hydrogen bonds mediate the characteristic L-shaped molecular structure. tRNAs have two regions of fundamental functional importance: the anti-codon, which is responsible for specific mRNA codon recognition, and the 3' end, to which the tRNAs corresponding amino acid is attached (by aminoacyl-tRNA synthetases). tRNAs cope with the degeneracy of the genetic code in two manners: having more than one tRNA (with a specific anti-codon) for a particular amino acid; and 'wobble' base-pairing, i.e. permitting non-standard base-pairing at the 3rd anti-codon position. The record is from RNAcentral. RNAcentral also lists the same sequence under 1 other name. Lineage: Eukaryota; Metazoa; Chordata; Actinopteri; Aulopiformes; Synodontidae.